RNAcentral lists this long non-coding RNA (297 nucleotides) under Homo sapiens (human). RNAcentral describes it as "non-protein coding lnc-GGCX-2:1". It matches the Rfam family "Metazoan signal recognition particle RNA". Rfam says of the family: The signal recognition particle (SRP) is a universally conserved ribonucleoprotein. The record is from RNAcentral. Lineage: Eukaryota; Metazoa; Chordata; Mammalia; Primates; Hominidae.
GCCAGGUGUGGUGGCAGGUGCCUGUAGUCUCAGCUACUUGGGAGGCUGAGGCAGGAGGAUCACUAGAGCCUAGGAGUUCUGGGCUAUAGUGUGCUAUGCCCAUCGGGUAUCUGCACUAAGUUCAACAUUAUUAUGGUGACCUCCCGGGAGCAAGGAACCACCAGGUUGCCUAAGGAGUGGUGAACCGGCCCAGGUAGGAAACAGAGCAGGUCAAAACUCCCACGCUGAUCAGUAGUGGGAUCACACCUGUGAAUAGCCACUGUACUCCAGCCUGGGCAACAUAGUGAGACCCUGUCU